GGGAACCCGGGCCCCGAGUCGCACGCUCACCACAAUCCAGGUCUCUCUGUAGCUGCCUGUGCAGCUUCUCCAGGUCCCAUGGCCCCUGCAGCUCCCUGGCCCUUGUCUUCCUCCUCUGUGGCCUUUGGAGGUUGUUGAAGCUAGGCCUGCUCCCCUGGCUCUGGCCCUGCAGUUCCCCUUCAUCCGAGGCCUCCUCUCCGGAAAUCUGCCCCUUUUUCUGACAACCAGCCCUCCUUCUGCAGGGAGCCCUGUGCUCUCCCUCCUCAGCCUCCUCUGUGGCCUCUGAGAAUUGCUCCUCCUCUGAGAUGGACCCCCUCCUGGGGCGCUGGGGCGGCUCCCCAGAACUCAGACCCCUCUCAGCCUCCUCAGCACCCAGGCCUAGCAGCUGGACCUGCUUGUCGGACGCCGAUCCUGAUCCUGGCCUCCUCCCAGGCGGCUGGAGGCCACACUCACUGGGGGGCUCCGGUCCUAGCUCCCCUUUGCCAGGAGGGAUGGAGACACCACCCCAGGCUCCCAGCUGUUGUCUCGCCUUCAGGUUUUGCACCUCUGUCUUCCGGCAGCAGCCAUAGGCCUCUGGGAGGUUGGCCGUGGACUUGCGCCUGGACUGGCGCUGGGAGGAUGAGGAGGGCAUGGGCAGGGCUUGGUGGCCUGGGGUUGGGGAACUUGGCUGAAGCACAGCCCGGACAUCUGUGGCGAUGCUCUCCCAGGCCCACUGGAAGGGGAAGGAGGGCUUCCGAGGAGGAAGGCGGAAGAGACUGAGAAAGGACAGGGUGGGGUCAGGGUCGGCACCAGCCCCCAGAGGGCCCUGACCCCCAGCACCCUCCUGACCCAUCCCACUGCUCCUUACUCUUCAGCCUCUUCAGAGCCCUGUCCUUUCUUGCUCUGGCCCCUGGGCUUGCGGUCCUUCUUUGCUGUCUUCCUUGAGCUCUGAGACCUCCACUGCAGGUCCUGAUUUGGCACACCAUCACCACUCCCCAGGCGGCCCUGGGCAGAGACAUUAGGGGAGGAGCAGCCAGCUCAAGCAGCCUCCUGGACUGUGUUGCACCUCACCCGGGUGCCCUCCUCUUCUGUGCACCUGGCUGGGCCUGGCUGGGCCCCUCUGGGCCCUCAUUACCGUAAAAACCAACUAAACAGGGCAGGGUGCGGUGCUCACGCCUGUAAUCCCAGCACUUUGGGAGGCCAAGGGGGGCGGAUCACCUGAGGCCAGGAGUUUGAGACCAGCUUGGCCAACAUGGUGAAACCCCGUCUCUACUAAAAAUACAAAAAAAAAAAAAAAAA
RNAcentral lists this long non-coding RNA (1278 nucleotides) under Macaca fascicularis (crab-eating macaque). Its description in RNAcentral is "lncRNA (ENSMFAG00000060825.1)". The record is from RNAcentral. Lineage: Eukaryota; Metazoa; Chordata; Mammalia; Primates; Cercopithecidae.